GACGAACGCUGGCGGCGUGCUUAACACAUGCAAGUCGAACGGAAAGGCCCUGCUUUUGUGGGGUGCUCGAGUGGCGAACGGGUGAGUAACACGUGAGUAACCUGCCCUUGACUUUGGGAUAACUUCAGGAAACUGGGGCUAAUACCGGAUAGGAGCUCCUGCUGCAUGGUGGGGGUUGGAAAGUUUCGGCGGUUGGGGAUGGACUCGCGGCUUAUCAGCUUGUUGGUGGGGUAGUGGCUUACCAAGGCUUUGACGGGUAGCCGGCCUGAGAGGGUGACCGGCCACAUUGGGACUGAGAUACGGCCCAGACUCCUACGGGAGGCAGCAGUGGGGAAUAUUGCACAAUGGGCGGAAGCCUGAUGCAGCAACGCCGCGUGCGGGAUGACGGCCUUCGGGUUGUAAACCGCUUUCGCCUGUGACGAAGCGUGAGUGGCGGUAAUGGGUAAAGAAGCACCGGCGAACUACGU
Molecule: ribosomal RNA, 467 nt
Filed under: uncultured bacterium
Lineage: Bacteria
Description: partial 16S ribosomal RNA
Rfam family: Bacterial small subunit ribosomal RNA
Source: RNAcentral